RNAcentral lists this ribosomal RNA (442 nucleotides) under uncultured bacterium. RNAcentral describes it as "partial 16S ribosomal RNA". It matches the Rfam family "Bacterial small subunit ribosomal RNA", at positions 338 to 795 of the family's 1533-position model. The record is from RNAcentral.
CCUACGGGAGGCAGCAGUGGGGAAUAUUGGGCAAUGGACGCAAGUCUGACCCAGCAACGUCGCGUGAAGGAAGAAGGCUCUCGGGUUGGAAACCUCCUUUAAGGGGGAAGAGCAGAAGACGGUACCCCUUGAAUAAUCCACGGCUAACUACGGGCCAGCAGCCGCGGUAAUACGUAGGUGGCAAGCGUUGUCCGGAUUUACUGGGUGUAAAGGGCGUGCAGCUGGAGAGACAAGUCAGCUGUGAAAUCCACGGGCUCAACCCGUGAACUGCCUUUGAAACUGUUUGCCUUGAGUGUAGGGGAGGUAAUCGGAAUGCGUUGUGUAGCGGUGAAAUGCGUAGAUAUAAGGAAGAACACCAGUGGCGAAGGCGGAUUACUGAACGAUAACUGACGGUGAGGCGCGAAAGCGUGGGGAGCAAACAGGAUUAGAUACCCGAGUAGUC